ACGGAGAUCCGGUUUAGUGUGGUUUGAUGGAUCAAGCUUUGAAAUUGGGGCAAAAAGAAAACCAAAAUUUCUCACUUGUUCCUUGUUAGAGAGAGAAAGAGAGAGAUCGCCGGAGAUGGGUUACGGAUGGGCGAUCUUCGAGGGGAUACUGGUCAUGGGAUCUCUGUGUCUGUUAGGAUCGGCGGGUCUCUGGUUUCUCAAUCGGAGGCUUUACAAGGAGUAUGAAGAGAAGCGAGCCUUGGUUCAAAUCAUUUUCAGCAUCGUCUUCGCCUUCUCUUGCAACCUCUUGCAGCUCGUUCUCUUCGAAAUCAUUCCUGUUUUAUCUAGAGAGGCAAGGAUGGUAAACUGGAAGGUGGAUCUCUUCUGUUUGAUACUGCUCCUUGUUUUCAUGUUACCCUAUUAUCAUUGCUAUUUGAUGCUUCGCAAUACUGGUGUUAGAAGGGAACGUGCUGCUGUUGGGGCCUUUUUAUUCUUGACCGCCUUCCUUUAUGCUUUCUGGCGCAGGGGAAUUCAUUUUCCUAUGCCUUCAGACAAAGGUUUUUUUUCAAUGCCUCAACUGGUCAGCAGAAUCGGGGUCAUUGGUGUCACCCUCAUGGCCGUCUUAUCGGGUUUUGGAGCUGUAAAUUUGCCUUACAGUUAUAUUUCUCUCUUCAUUAGGGAGAUUGAAGAAUCAGAAAUAAAAUCGCUGGAAAGGCAACUGAUGCAAUCAAUUGAGACUUGCAUAGCUAAGAAGAAGAAAAUUAUCUUAUGUCAAGUGGAGGUGGAACGAAGUCAAGUGUCAGAAGAACAUCAAAAGGGUAGGUCUUUCCUUAGAAGAUUUGUCGGAACUGUGGUGCGGUCGGUUCAAGAUGACCAAAAGGAGCAAGAUAUCAAACUAGUGGAGGCGGAGGUUGAAGGUCUAGAAGAGCUGUCAAAGCAGCUAUUCUUGGAAAUUUAUGAACUCCGCCAAGCAAAGGAUGCUGCUGCUUUUUCUCGAACUUGGAAGGGUCAUGUGCAGAACUUACUUGGCUAUGCGUGUUCCAUCUACUGUGUGUAUAAGAUGUUAAAGUCUCUACAGAGUGUCGUUUUCAAGGAGGCGGGCACAAAAGAUCCUGUCACGAUGAUGAUCAGUAUAUUCUUGCAGUUUUUUGAUAUAGGAGUAGAUGCUGCAUUGCUCUCACAGUAUAUUUCCCUGUUGUUUAUUGGGAUGUUGAUCGUGAUAUCAGUGAGGGGAUUCUUGACGAAUCUGAUGAAGUUCUUCUUUGCAGUGUCGAGGGUAGGGAGUGGAUCUUCAAGCAAUGUUGUGCUUUUCCUAUCGGAAAUCAUGGGAAUGUACUUUUUGUCUUCCAUUCUUCUUAUAAGAAAAAGCUUGAGAAAUGAGUACAGAGGGAUAAUAACAGAUGUAUUAGGCGGAGAUAUUCAGUUUGAUUUCUAUCAUCGAUGGUUUGAUGCAAUAUUCGUGGCCAGCGCUUUUCUUUCUCUGCUUUUGCUUUCUGCACACUACACAUCUCGUCAAAUGGAUAAGCACCCAGUUGACUAAGCAAAGAAAGCAAGCAUCAGUAAGUUCCCUUGCAUUCAGUUUUUCAUAUAGAAGAAAGUAGUUGAAUCAAUUACUACGAGUUUAGCAUUGGCUUAUGUACAUUUCUAUUUGCUUCGUGAUUAGUUGUAAAGAGAAUGAGAUUUAUAUGGAGAGUCCCGGAAAUCCUAAUGGUACUUUAGGAGGUAAUAAAAAAAAAAAAAAAGGAAGAAAAAGGAAAAUGAGUAGUGUGGCCACAAUGAUUGCAUGUGGGCAUUGACUGGAAAACACGUUUUCAUGUUGGUUCAGUUUGAGAUACUGAGAGUUAUUGUGGUAGAGAGAAAGUUGGUACGUGUGUUUGUUAGGUUCAAAUGUCGACUCAACGGCGCUUUUGAUCGAAUCACAUUAAUAUCCAUCCAGGGAUAGAAUUCUCAGAA
This is an RNA transcript of Camelina sativa (false flax), 1932 nucleotides long. It is a transcript of the gene named GPCR-type G protein 2, with no coding region annotated. NCBI's taxonomy places the organism in Eukaryota, Viridiplantae, Streptophyta, Magnoliopsida, Brassicales, Brassicaceae. The record is from RefSeq and is a predicted model, not a curated record.